CUACAUUAACCCACAAGUAGCAUCACAGCUAGAUAAGGUGUUCAAGAAAGCUUUCGGCACGUGGGCCUUCAUCAGUCAG
Molecule: long non-coding RNA, 79 nt
Organism: Amblyraja radiata (thorny skate)
Lineage: Eukaryota; Metazoa; Chordata; Chondrichthyes; Rajiformes; Rajidae
Exons: 3
Source: RefSeq, a predicted model, not a curated record